GGUCGGCCGGCGGGGUGGUGCGCCGCGGCGGCGCGGGGCUGUCGGGCGGCGCGGGGGCGUUCGAGGCGCCGUCGGCCG
Molecule: transfer RNA, 78 nt
Filed under: Streptomyces cirratus
Lineage: Bacteria; Bacillati; Actinomycetota; Actinomycetes; Kitasatosporales; Streptomycetaceae
Description: tRNA-Pro
Source: RNAcentral